GAGCCUAUGCGCGAGUGGUUUAGCGAGUGCUCUGCAAAAGCACGUACGUCGGUUCGAAUCCGACUAGGCUCUC
RNAcentral lists this transfer RNA (73 nucleotides) under Streptomyces phage Kenrey. RNAcentral's name for it is "tRNA-Cys". It matches the Rfam family "tRNA". From Rfam's summary of the family: Transfer RNA (tRNA) molecules are approximately 80 nucleotides in length. Their secondary structure includes four short double-helical elements and three loops (D, anti-codon, and T loops). The record is from RNAcentral. Lineage: Duplodnaviria; Heunggongvirae; Uroviricota; Caudoviricetes; Stanwilliamsviridae.